AUUGAACGCUGGCGGCAUGCUUUACACAUGCCAGUCGAACGGCAGCGCGGGCUUCGGCCUGGCGGCGAGUGGCGAACGGGUGAGUAAUGCAUUGGAACGUGCCCAGUAGUGGGGGAUAGCCCGGCGAAAGCCGGAUUAAUACCGCAUACGACCUGAGGGUGAAAGCGGGGGACCGAAGGGCCUCGCGCUAUUGGAGCGGCCGAUGUCGGAUUAGCUAGUUGGUGGGGUAAAGGCUUACCAAGGCGACGAUCCGUAGCUGGUCUGAGAGGACGACCAGCCACACUGGGACUGAGACACGGCCCAGACUCCUACGGGAGGCAGCAGUGGGGAAUUUUGGACAAUGGGGGCAACCCUGAUCCAGCCAUGCCGCGUGCGGGAAGAAGGCCUUCGGGUUGUAAACCGCUUUUGUUCGGGAAGAAAUCCUCUGGGCUAAUACCCCGGGGGGAUGACGGUACCGGAAGAAUAAGCACCGGCUAACUACGUG
Molecule: ribosomal RNA, 484 nt
Filed under: uncultured bacterium
Lineage: Bacteria
Description: partial 16S ribosomal RNA
Rfam family: Bacterial small subunit ribosomal RNA
Source: RNAcentral